This 321-nucleotide long non-coding RNA is filed under the name Androctonus crassicauda. The record is from RNAcentral. Lineage: Eukaryota; Metazoa; Arthropoda; Arachnida; Scorpiones; Buthidae.
UUAAAAUAGCAUAUAAAAUGAAAAGUAUUAUUUUUUUCUUGCUUAGAAAUGAUAAAGACACAUGGAGAAGAAAAAAUGCAGAAGUUUAUGUAAUCCCAAUUUCCAACCUAGAUUUAAACAGAGAAGAAAAAUAUAUUGUAUACACAAACUGCAACUUAGAAGAAAGAGUGAAAGAACAAACGAAGGAUAUAGAAAAAGAUGAAACUAGUACUGUGCUAGGUGUUAGAGCAUUAGAACCCAACAUAGAUAUUAAAUGAAAGGAAGCGAAAGUGGUGAAACACAUCAAGUGCAGAAAUGAAGGAAUCAUUGCAGAGUCAAUUG